Molecule: ribosomal RNA, 2666 nt
Filed under: human gut metagenome
Description: bacterial LSU rRNA
Rfam family: Bacterial large subunit ribosomal RNA
Source: RNAcentral
UCAAGUGACUAAGUGUAUGUGGUGGAUGCCUUGGCGAUCACAGGCGAUGAAGGACGUAGUAGCUUGCGAUAAGCUGCGGGGAGCCGGCAAACGGGCUUUGAUCCGCAGAUUUCCGAAUGGGGGAACCCACCGACGUAGGUCGGUAUCACGCACUGAAUACAUAGGUGCGUGAGGCGAACGGAGCGAACUGAAACAUCUAAGUAGCUCCAGGAAAAGAAAUCAACCGAGAUUGCGAAAGUAGCGGCGAGCGAAAUUGCAGCAGCCCAGUGUUCUGAUAGCACGAACGACAGCAGAAGGGUCUGGAAAGGCCCGCUAUAGAGGGUGAUAGCCCCGUAUGCGAAAUCGGACGUGUGGUACUAAGGAACCGAUAAGUAGGGCGGGACACGUGACAUCCUGUCUGAAGAUGGGGGGACCAUCCUCCAAGGCUAAAUACUCGUGAUCGACCGAUAGUGAACCAGUACUGUGAAGGAAAGGCGAAAAGAACCCCGGGAGGGGAGUGAAAUAGAACCUGAAACCGCAUACAUACAAACAGUAGGAGCCCCUGCAGUGGGGUGACUGCGUACCUUUUGCAUAAUGGGUCAGCGACUUACGUUUUGUGGCGAGCUUAACCGAGUAGGGGAGGCGUAGCGAAAGCGAGUUCGAAUAGAGCGACAAGUCUCAAGGCGUAGACCCGAAACCAGAUGAGCUAUCCAUGGCCAGGUUGAAGGUGUGGUAACACACACUGGAGGACCGAACCGACUAGUGUUGCAAAAUUAGCGGAUGAGCUGUGGAUAGGGGUGAAAGGCUUAACAAAUCUGGAGAUAGCUGGUUCUCCCCGAAAACUAUUGAGGUAGUGCCUCGUGUAUUGCUCCAGGGGGUAGAGCACUGUUAUGGCUAGGGGGACAUGGCGUCUUACCAAACCAUGGCAAACUCCGAAUACUUGGAAGUAAGAGCACGGGAGACAGAGCACCGGGUGCUAACGUCCGGACUCAAGAGGGAAACAACCCAGACCGCCGUUUAAGGUCCCAAAUAUUGACUAAGUGGAAAACGAAGUGUGAAGGCUAAGACAGUCAGGAAGUUGGCUUAGAAGCAGCCAUCCUUCAAAGAAAGCGUAAUAGCUCACUGAUCGAGUCCUCAUGCGCGGAAGAUGUAACGGGGCUAAGUCAAUAACCGAAAGCGCGGAUUUGCAUGAAAAUGCAAGUGGUAGGGGAGCGUUCUGUAAGCCUGCGAAGGUGGUUCGAGAGGACUGCUGGAGGUAUCAGAAGUGCGAAUGCUGACAUGAGUAACGUUAAAGCGGGUGAAAAGCCCGCUCGCCGUAAGCCCAAGGUUUCCUGCUCUACGUUCAUCGGAGCAGGGUGAGUCGGCCCCUAAGGCCAGGCUGAGAAGCGUAGUCGAUGGGAAGCAGAUUAAUAUUUCUGCACCAUGUGCAAGUGCGAUGGGGGGACGGAGUGCGAAAGAUCAUCCGGGUGUUGGAUGUCCCGGUUUGUGAGUGUAGAAGGCCGACAGGCAAAUCCGUCGGCGGAUCUUCGAGACAAAGCAUCGAGGUUCUACGGAACCGAAGUGAUCGGAAGUGCUUCCAGGAAAAGCCUCUAAGCUUCAGCUUGUACAUGACCGUACCGUAAACCGACACUGGUGGGCGAGUUGAAUAUACUCAGGCGCUUGAGAGAACUCGGGAGAAGGAACUCGGCAAAUUGACACCGUAACUUCGGGAUAAGGUGUGCCUUUGUAGCGUGAAGAGAGAAACACUCGGAGCGUGAAGAGGCCUCAGAGAAUCGGUGGCUGCAACUGUUUAUUAAAAACACAGCACUCUGCAAAGACGAAAGUCGACGUAUAGGGUGUGAUGCCUGCCCGGUGCUGGAAGAUUAAGUGAUGGGGUGAGAGCUCCUGAUCGAAGUCCCAGUAAACGGCGGCCGUAACUAUAACGGUCCUAAGGUAGCGAAAUUCCUUGUAUAAUGAUGGCCACACUGUCUCCUCCCGAGACUCAGUGAAGUUGAAAUGUUUGUGAUGAUGCAAUCUCCCCGCGGCUAGACGGGAAGACCCCAUGAACCUUUACUGUAGCUUUGCAUUGGACUUUGAACCGAUUUGUGUAGGAUAGGCGGGAGGCAGAGAAAGCGCAACGCCAGUUGUGCCGGAGCCGACGUUGAAAUACCGCCCUGAUUUGUUUGAGGUUCUAACCGCGACCCGUAAGCCGGGUCCGGGACCGUGCAUGGCAGGCAGUUUGACUGGGGCGGUCUCCUCCUAAAGGGUAACGGAGGAGUACAAAGGUACGCUAGGUACGGUCGGAAAUCGUGCUGAUAGUGCAAAGGCAAAAGCGUGCUUGACUGCGAGACCGACAAGUCGAGCAGAUGCGAAAGCAGGUCUUAGUGAUCCGGUGGCUCUGUAUGGAAGGGCCAUCGCUCAACGGAUAAAAGGUACUCUGGGGAUAACAGGCUGAUACCGCCCAAGAGUUCAUAUCGACGGCGGUGUUUGGCACCUCGAUGUCGGCUCAUCUCAUCCUGGGGCUGUAGCCGGUCCCAAGGGUAUGGCUGUUCGCCAUUUAAAGAGGUACGUGAGCUGGGUUUAAAACGUCGUGAGACAGUUUGGUCCCUAUCUGCCGUGGGCGCUGGAAGAUUGACGGGGGCUGCUCCUAGUACGAGAGGACCGGAGUGGACGCACCUCUGGUGUACCGGUUGUCACGCCAGUGGCAU